Molecule: ribosomal RNA, 501 nt
Filed under: uncultured bacterium
Lineage: Bacteria
Description: bacterial SSU rRNA
Rfam family: Bacterial small subunit ribosomal RNA
Source: RNAcentral
AGAGUUUGAUUAUGGCUCAGGAUGAACGCUGGCGGCAUGCCUAACACAUGCAAGUCGAACGGAGUUGGAGGUAGCUUGCUACUGACAACUUAGUGGCGGACGGGUGAGUAACGCGUGAGUAACCUGCCUCUAAGAGGGGGGAUAACGUUCUGAAAAGAACGCUAAUACCGCAUAUAAUUACGAAAUCGCAUGAUUUUGUAAUGAAAGGAGCAAUCCGCUUAGAGAUGGACUCGCGUCUGAUUAGCUGGAUGGUGGGGUAACGGCUCACUAUGGCGACGAUCAGUAGCCGGACUGAGAGGUUGAACGGCCACAUUGGGACUGAGACACGGCCCAGACUCCUACGGGAGGCAGCAGUGGGGGAUAUUGCGCAAUGGGGGAAACCCUGACGCCAGCAAUGCCGCGUGAAGGAUGAAGGUUUUCGGAUUGUAAACUUCUUUUGUUAAGGACGAUAAUGACGGUACUUAACGAAUAAGCUCCGGCUAACUAUGUGCCAGCAGCAGC